GUUGAACGCUGGCGGCAUGCUUUACACAUGCAAGUCGAACGGCAGCAUAGGUGCUUGCACCUGAUGGCGAGUGGCGAACGGGUGAGUAAUAUAUCGGAACAUGUCCGGAAGUGGGGGAUAACGUAGCGAAAGUUACGCUAAUACCGCAUAUGCCCUGAGGGGGAAAGGCGGGGAUCGAAAGACCUUUCGCUUUCGGAGUGGCGGAUAUCUGAUUAGCUAGUAGGUGAGGUAAAGGCUCACCUAGGCGACGAUCCGUAGCUGGUCUGAGAGGACGACCAGCCACACUGGGACUGAGACACGGCCCAGACUCCUACGGGAGGCAGCAGUGGGGAAUUUUGGACAAUGGGCGCAAGCCUGAUCCAGCCAUGCCGCGUGAGUGAAGAAGGCCUUCGGGUUGUAAAGCUCUUUCAGCUGGAAAGAAAUCAUGCUUACUAAUACUAAGUGUGGAUGACGGUACCAGCAGAAGAAGCACCGGCUAACUACAUGCCAGCCGCCGCAGUAA
RNAcentral lists this ribosomal RNA (502 nucleotides) under uncultured bacterium. Its description in RNAcentral is "partial 16S ribosomal RNA". It matches the Rfam family "Bacterial small subunit ribosomal RNA", at positions 28 to 523 of the family's 1533-position model. The record is from RNAcentral.